GAACGUUACCAAACUGUUGCCUCGGCGGGAUCUCUGCCCCGGGUGCGUCGCAGCCCCGGACCAAGGCGCCCGCCGGAGGACCAACCUAAAACUCUUUUUGUAUACCCCCUCGCGGGUUUUUUAUAAUCUGAGCCUUCUCGGCGCCUCUCGUAGGCGUUUCGAAAAUGAAUCAAAACUUUCAACAACGGAUCUCUUGGUUCUGGCAUCGAUGAAGAACGCAGCGAAAUGCGAUAAGUAAUGUGAAUUGCAGAAUUCAGUGAAUCAUCGAAUCUUUGAACGCACAUUGCGCCCGCCAGUAUUCUGGCGGGCAUGCCUGUCCGAGCGUCAUUUCAACCCUCGAACCCCUCCGGGGGGUCGGCGUUGGGGAUCGGCCCUCCCUUAGCGGGUGGCCGUCUCCGAAAUACAGUGGCGGUCUCGCCGCAGCCUCUCCUGCGCAGUAGUUUGCACACUCGCAUCGGGAGCGCGGCGCGU
RNAcentral lists this ribosomal RNA (471 nucleotides) under Trichoderma harzianum. Its description in RNAcentral is "eukaryotic LSU rRNA". The stretch from base 174 to 327 matches the Rfam family "5.8S ribosomal RNA". Lineage: Eukaryota; Fungi; Ascomycota; Sordariomycetes; Hypocreales; Hypocreaceae. The record is from RNAcentral.